Long non-coding RNA from Orcinus orca (killer whale), 866 nucleotides. RefSeq lists it as uncharacterized. The record is from RefSeq and is a predicted model, not a curated record. The transcript has 3 exons. NCBI's taxonomy places the organism in Eukaryota, Metazoa, Chordata, Mammalia, Artiodactyla, Delphinidae.
GGUCGUGAGGGGGCUGCAGCCUGGCCGAGGGUCAGGCUGGGGUGCAGCAGAACCCGGCCCUGUGCGCGCCUCGCGGGGAGGUUGAGAGACCCAGGGCACAAUUCGGGCGGGGCUUGCCUGGUUUUAUUUACGCCUUAUAAAGACCCGUUUUAGAAGCUACUGCUGUAGUCCUGGAUGAGAGCUGUGAGUGCGUUGGAGAAGGGCGGAAGGCAGUAGAGGUGGAAACGAGAGGGGGACUUGGGUUUUGUUUCGAAGGGUUUGGUUUAGGGGGCGGGAGGUGUGUCAAGGAUUCCGAAUUCCUCACGUGACCAGUUGGAUGACUAUUGGUGCCACUUAGUGAGAAUGGGUAGGCUGAGGUAGGAGCUGAUCUGGACGUGUGCAUUUUGAGCUCUUGGUGACUCCCGCACGUGGGAAUGACAGGCAGAUGGAUGGUCAUGUCUGGUCCAUCCACAGAGAAGGGAUCUGGACAGAAGGUGUUACUUUGGGAAUCGUUGGCAUAUAAAUGGUAACCAAAGCUACCAGAAUGAACGGAACCUAGGGAGAGCGCAUAAAGCAAACUUUUCUUGUAAAGGGCUGGGAGCCAAUGACCCCUGAGGGAAGCCACAGAAGAGACGAGGACUGCCUCUCCUGCUUCCCCAAAGGUCCUCCUUCUGAAUUCUCCAGCCCCCUUUUCAUCAGGUUAGAUUCUUCCUCACUGAGGAAGAUGCUUGGAAGACAGGGCAGGACUCAGCCCACACAAAAGCCACCUGCUAAACUGGAGCAAUGAGUCUACUUCACAGCUUCCUGAGCUCCAAGAACAUCAUUCCUGGCACAAACCCCAUGACAGUGAACCAGUAGAAAUCCAUUUACCUUCCUUUGGAGCGGGA